GACGAACGCUGGCGGCGUGCUUAACACAUGCAAGUCGAACGGAAAGGCCCUGCUUUUGUGGGGUGCUCGAGUGGCGAACGGGUGAGUAACACGUGAGUAACCUGCCCUUGGCUUUGGGAUAACUUCAGGAAACUGGGGCUAAUACCGGAUAGGAGCUCCUGCUGCAUGGUGGGGGUUGGAAAGUUUCGGCGGUUGGGGAUGGACUCGCGGCUUAUCAGCUUGUUGGUGGGGUAGUGGCUUACCAAGGCUUUGACGGGUAGCCGGCCUGAGAGGGUGACCGGCCACAUUGGGACUGAGAUACGGCCCAGACUCCUACGGGAGGCAGCAGUGGGGAAUAUUGCACAAUGGGCGGAAGCCGGAUGCAGCAACGCCGCGUGCGGGAUGACGGCCUUCGGGUUGUAAACCGCUUUCGCCUGUGACGAAGCGUGAGUGACGGUAAUGGGUAAAGAAGCACCGGCUAACUACGU
RNAcentral lists this ribosomal RNA (467 nucleotides) under uncultured bacterium. RNAcentral describes it as "partial 16S ribosomal RNA". It matches the Rfam family "Bacterial small subunit ribosomal RNA", at positions 28 to 506 of the family's 1533-position model. The record is from RNAcentral.